GGGUCCUUAGCUCAGUGGUAGAGCAUUUGACUACAGAUCAAGAGGUCACUAGUUCGAACCUGGUAGGGCCCU
This is a non-coding RNA of Cucumis sativus (cucumber), 72 nucleotides long. The record is from Rfam. NCBI's taxonomy places the organism in Eukaryota, Viridiplantae, Streptophyta, Magnoliopsida, Cucurbitales, Cucurbitaceae.